Molecule: ribosomal RNA, 294 nt
Filed under: uncultured bacterium
Lineage: Bacteria
Description: partial 16S ribosomal RNA
Rfam family: Bacterial small subunit ribosomal RNA
Source: RNAcentral
UUUCCCCUACGGGACGCAGCAGUGGGGAAUAUUGCACAAUGGGGGGAACCCUGAUGCAGCGACGCCGCGUGGGUGAAGAAGUAUUUCGGUAUGUAAAGCCCUAUCAGCAGGGAAGAAGAAUGACGGUACCUGACUAAGAAGCACCGGCUAAAUACGUGCCAGCAGCCGCGGCAAUACGUAUGGUGCAAGCGUUAUCCGGAUUUACUGGGUGUAAAGGGAGCGCAGGCGGGGCGGGAAGGCUGAUGUGAAAGCCCGGGGCCCAACCCCGGUACUGCAUUGGAAACUGCCGUACUU